GAUGAACGCUGACAGAAUGCUUAACACAUGCAAGUCGAUUCGAUUUACCUUCGGGUAUUGAGGAUGGCGGACGGGUGAGUAACGCGUAAGGAACUUGCCUCUUGGUCUGGGACAACUGUUGGAAACGACAGCUAAUACCGGAUAUUAUGAGAUUCUCGCAUGGGGAAUUUAUGAAAGCUAUAUGCGCCAAGAGAGAGCCUUGCGUUCCAUUAGCUAGUUGGUGGGGUAACGGCCCACCAAGGCGACGAUGGAUAGCCGGCCUGAGAGGGUGAACGGCCACAAGGGGACUGAGACACGGCCCUUACUCCUACGGGAGGCAGCAGUGGGGAAUAUUGGACAAUGGGNNACAAGCCUGAUCCAGCAAUUCUGUGUGCACGAUGAAGGUCUUCGGAUUGUAAAGUGCUUUCAGUUGGGAAGAAGAAAGUGACGGUACCAACAGAAGAAGCGACGGCUAAAUACGUGCCAGCAGCCGCGGUAAUACGUAUGUCGCAAGCGUUAUCCGGAUUUAUUGGGCGUAAAGCGCGUCUAGGCGGAAAAAUAAGUCUGAUGUUAAAAUGCGGGGCUCAACUCCGUAUUGCGUUGNAAACUGUUUUUCUAGAGUACUGGAGAGGUGGGCGGAACUACAAGUGUAGAGGUGAAAUUCGUAGAUAUUUGUAGGAAUGCCGAUGGAGAAGUCAGCUCACUGGACAGAUACUGACGCUGAAGCNCGAAA
This 712-nucleotide ribosomal RNA is filed under the name uncultured prokaryote. Its description in RNAcentral is "bacterial SSU rRNA". It matches the Rfam family "Bacterial small subunit ribosomal RNA", at positions 28 to 758 of the family's 1533-position model. The record is from RNAcentral.